This 1325-nucleotide ribosomal RNA is filed under the name metagenome. RNAcentral describes it as "bacterial LSU rRNA". It matches the Rfam family "Bacterial large subunit ribosomal RNA", at positions 1561 to 2925 of the family's 2925-position model. The record is from RNAcentral.
AGUGGAUGGGGAGCAACCUAGUUGUGCGUGUGUAAAGGUAGUGCCAAGAAAAGCGGUGAUCAUGAUGAAAAUCAAUUCCCGGUACCCGAAACCGACACAGGUGGGCAAGUAGAGAAUACUAAGGGGCGCGAGGUAACUCUCUCCAAGGAACUCGGCAAAAUGACCCCGUAACUUAGGGAGAAGGGGUGCCACCGAGAGGUGGUCGCAGUGAUGAGGCCCAGGCGACUGUUUAGCAAAAACAUAGGUCUCUGCAAACUCGAAAGAGGAGGUAUAGGGGCUGACGCCUGCCCAGUGCCGGAAGGUUAAAGAAGUUGGUCAGUCUUAGGAUGAAGCUAGCGACUGAAGCCCCGGUGAACGGCGGCCGUAACUAUAACGGUCCUAAGGUAGCGAAAUUCCUUGUCGGGUAAGUUCCGACCCGCACGAAAGGCGUAACGAUCUGGGCGCUGUCUCGGAGAGAGGCUCGGCGAAAUAGGAUUGUCUGUGAAGAUACGGACUACCUGCAUUUGGACAGAAAGACCCUAUGAAGCUUUACUAUAGCCUGGAAUUGUGUUCGGGCUUCCUGUGCGCAGGAUAGGUGGGAGGCGAAGAAGGUAUUCUUGUGGGGAUACUGGAGCCAACGGUGAGAUACCACUCUCAGGAGGCUAGAAUUCUAACUUAAUUAAGGACAGUUUCAGGUGGGUAGUUUGACUGGGGCGGUCGCCUCCAAAAAGGUAACGGAGGCGUACAAAGGUUCCCUCAGACUGGUUGGAAAUCAGUCGCAGAGUGCAAAGGCAGAAGGGAGCUUGACUGCGAGAAGUACAGUUCGAGCAGGGUGGAAACACGGUCUUAGUGAUCCGACGGUGCUGUGUGGAAGGGCCGUCGCUCAACGGAUAAAAGUUACUCUAGGAUAACAGGCUGAUCUCCCCCAAGAGUUCACAUCGACGGGGAGGUUUGGCACCUCGAUGUCGGCUCAUCGCAACCUGGGGCGGAAGUACGUCCCAAGGGUUGGGCUGUUCGCCCAUUAAAGCGGUACGUGAGCUGGGUUCAGAACGUCGUGAGACAGUUCGGUCCAUAUCCGAUGUAGGCGUGAGAAUAUUGAGAGGAGCCUUCCUUAGUACGAGAGGACCGGGAAGGACGCACCGCUGGUGUACCUGUUAUGAUGCCAAUUGUAAACGCAGGGUAGCCAAGUGCGGAGAGGAUAACCGCUGAAAGCAUCUAAGUGGGAAGCCCACCUCAAGAUGAGUAUUCUGGUGUAAGGUCACGGGAAGACGACCCGUAAAUAGGCACGAGGUGGAAGUGCAGAGAUGUAUGAAGCCGAAGUGUACUAAUAGACCGUCGGCUUGACC